This 1292-nucleotide unclassified non-coding RNA is filed under the name Hevea brasiliensis (rubber tree). The record is from RNAcentral. Lineage: Eukaryota; Viridiplantae; Streptophyta; Magnoliopsida; Malpighiales; Euphorbiaceae.
GAAAGAGUACAGUGGAUAGCACGAUCACAUCAGAAGCGUCUUCGAUCCAAAAUUCCCAGAAAGACGAGGACUUGCCGUCAAAAAUUUGGCGAAGAAUCCAAACCAGUGAUCGGCCAAACCCAAAACAGAACCCAGUGCCGACCUUCUAGAAAAGUCCACUCAGUUAGCUGCGGGAUGCGGAUUUAGGUAAUAGGAAUUAUCCUUAAUGGAACUAUCUCUUAUGACCCACGUGUUCACUUUCUCACAUGGGUGCCAUUAUCACAUCCACAUGUAACCGCCCUUAUUUAAUCUCAUUCCUUAUCCUACGGUCCCUCCUUCUCCACCUGUACCCUUCCCCGGCUUUUCCUCCGAACGUCUACGUGGCUCUCGCACGAGCCUCCACCGGCUUCUACUAUUAGUCAUUACGUCUCAUACUUUUCUAUCUUCUAGCUCUUUAUUGCAUUACCAAAUCCAAUGCUUUGCCACUUCUUUUUAACCCAAGAAGCCACAAAGGGGGAAUAAUUGUUUUCGAAAUAUAGCAGAGAUGGUGCGACAGAACGGUGCUCGAGGAGAGAGAAGAGAUGGUGGAUACAAGGGAGUGAGGAUGAGGAAAUGGGGGAAAUGGGUAGCGGAGAUUCGUCAACCAAACAGCAGAGGGAGGAUAUGGUUGGGUUCUUAUAAUACUGCUGAGGAAGCUGCUAGAGCCUACGAUGCUGCCCUUUUUUGCCUUCGUGGACCUUCUGCGACUCUCAAUUUCCCAAUGAAUCCGCCGGAUAUUCAUUUAACGACAGACCUUUCUCCGUUGCAGAUUCGGGAGGCCGCGCUUAGGCACUCCAGGAGGGGGGUUUCUGAGAUAACGGCGUCACAGGAUUUGAGUUCUCGGGUUCCGGCAUCUGGGUUGUUUCAGGAGUCGUCAGAACUGCGGGGAGAGGUUUAUUUGCCUUCUACUGAGCAUAGAGUAGAAAGUUUGGACAGGAUUUCGGGUGGUGCAUAUUAUCAAGCAUCUGGUGUGUGGACCGUUUAAUAGUUUUUUUUUUCUUUCUCCCUUUUUUUUAAUACGUAUAUUUUAUAUCCCCUCCUCUUCUAUAAUAUACUGACUUUCUAGGGUCCAUCUGCUUAGAUUUCAUUUUGAGUUACACGGUGCCGGAAGGCAAGAAUUUUGUAUGGUUGUGCUUAGAAUAGAUAGCAGAGUUUGUCCAAAGGGAAGUUAUAAAGAAAAUCUUGUGCCUCGCACAGGUUCCACCAACUUUUCCCUCUUCUGAAACAUAAUAUUAACGGAGAUAGAAUUCAGUUUCAGUUUCAGCCCAGUUGCG